GUUUUAAUAGUUUAAAAAAAACAUUGGUCUUGUAAACCAAAAUUAGGGUAUCCUUUAAAAUU
This 62-nucleotide transfer RNA is filed under the name Puliciphora borinquenensis. RNAcentral's name for it is "tRNA-Thr". It matches the Rfam family "tRNA". Rfam says of the family: Transfer RNA (tRNA) molecules are approximately 80 nucleotides in length. The record is from RNAcentral. Lineage: Eukaryota; Metazoa; Arthropoda; Insecta; Diptera; Phoridae.